This 654-nucleotide long non-coding RNA is filed under the name Pan troglodytes (chimpanzee). RNAcentral describes it as "long non-coding RNA NONPTRT012366". The record is from RNAcentral. Lineage: Eukaryota; Metazoa; Chordata; Mammalia; Primates; Hominidae.
AUGGUUUGGAGGUGCUCUGUUGUAUGGUUUGGAGGUGCUCUGUUGUAUGGUUUGGAGGUGCUCUUGUAUGGUUUGGAGGUGCUCUUGUAUGGUUUGGAGGUGCUCUAUUGUAUGGUUUGGAGGUGCUCUGUUGUAUGGUUUGGAGGUGGUCUUGUAUGGUUUGGAGGUGGUCUUGUAUGGUUUGGAGGUGCUCUUGUAUGGUUUGGAGGUGCUCUUGUAUGGUUUGGAGGUGCUCUUGUAUGGUUUGGAGGUGCUCUUGUAUGGUUUGGAGGUGCUCUGUUGUAUGGUUUGGAGGUGGUCUUGUAUGGUUUGGAGGUGGUCUUGUAUGGUUUGGAGGUGGUCUUGUAUGGUUUGGAGGUGCUCUGUUGUAUGGUUUGGAGGUGCUCUGUUGUAUGGUUUGGAGGUGCUCUAUGGUAUGGUUUGGAGGUGCUCUAUUGUAUGGUUUGGAGGUGCUCUAUUGUAUGGUUUGGAGGUGCUCUGUUGUAUGGUUUGGAGGUGCUCUGUUGUAUGGUUUGGAGGUGCUCUUGUAUGGUUUGGAGGUGCUCUAUUGUAUGGUUUGGAGAUGCUCUGGUCUCUGCCUGCUUUGCUUGCCUCACCUGCCCGGUCAGAAGGUGCUGUGUUGACAAUUGUGCCUGCACGGUGCCUAGGUCAAUG